GACGAACGCUGGCGGCGUGCUUAACACAUGCAAGUCGAGCGGAAAGGCCCUUCGGGGUACUCGAGCGGCGAACGGGUGAGUAACACGUGAGUAACCUGCCCCAGACUUUGGGAUAACCCUCGGAAACGGGGGCUAAUACCGGAUACGACACAGCUUCGCAUGGGGUCUGUGUGGAAAGUUUUUCGGUUUGGGAUGGGCUCGCGGCCUAUCAGCUUGUUGGUGGGGUGAUGGCCUACAAAGGCGACGCCGGGUAGCCGGCCUGAGAGGGCGACCGGCCACACGGGGACUGAGACACGGCCCAGACUCCUACGGGAGGCAGCAGUGGGGAAUAUUGCACAAUGGGCGGAAGCCUGAUGCAGCGACGCCGCGUGAGGGAUGACGGUCUUCGGGUUGUAAACCUCUUUCGGCAGGGACGAAGCGUAAGUGACGGUACCUGCAGAAGAAGCGCCGGCCAACUACGUG
This 462-nucleotide ribosomal RNA is filed under the name uncultured bacterium. RNAcentral's name for it is "partial 16S ribosomal RNA". It matches the Rfam family "Bacterial small subunit ribosomal RNA", at positions 28 to 507 of the family's 1533-position model. The record is from RNAcentral.